Oreochromis niloticus (Nile tilapia) is the source of this 3222-nucleotide RNA transcript. RefSeq lists it as uncharacterized. The transcript has 3 exons. NCBI's taxonomy places the organism in Eukaryota, Metazoa, Chordata, Actinopteri, Cichliformes, Cichlidae. The record is from RefSeq and is a predicted model, not a curated record.
GAAGGCGGCCUUAUUUAUAGAUUUCUGUGCUUGAAAUUUUCCUGACAGGGAUGAAUGACUUAUAUUCUCCCGGAGAUGACUGAAUUUUCCUGCCCUUGAGACAGAUAGGUAGUGCUUCAAGUCUGAGAUAAGAACAUGGAAAAUAUUCUGAUGCCAACUACAAUUAGCUUGGCUGCACUUACAGACAAAAGUAAAAAACACAUUUUGGGUAAAUGCCAACAGCAGGUCAAAGCUGUCAGUGUCACAGUGAUGCCACACACAAACUGAAAGUUCAAAGGUCAACAACUAUGCUAAAAAUCAGUAAGGGUGACAGUUUUGUUGUAUGCAACAGAAAAUUCAGGUCAUAAGCAGGAAGGAAGAAGACACUCUGACCUGACACUUGACCUUUGCAGGCCACUGAAUGUCACCCAAUCUGACUGACGUAUGCAGAAAAAGCUUUUAAGACACCUUCUGGGUGGAGCAGAGUCACAAAAGUGAAACUUUACCUAAAGCUAUAACUCAGGCAUAAGAUGUUUAUGACCAACCACUUACUGAUCAGUGUUGCUGCUGAUGCAUCGUGUCUUCACCUCAGGGCAGUCUUGUGACACCUCCACAAACCUAUAGCCAGGAGGAAGAGCCUCAGGGCGGCUAAAGUGACAAACAACCCAUUCACAGUCUAUAUCAGCUCCAACACUGGUCUUACUGCAGGCUAUACUUGCUGACAUUUAAAUUCCAGCACUGUUUUUAAAUGCUAAGAAUUUGUUCCAGUUUAGUGGUUGCCUUUUCCAUCAGCUGAUGGUACAUAGCUCCAGCUAAAAGGUCUAUGGAGAAGUACUUGCUUUCAGCACCAGAUUUAAUUUAGUAUGAACACACCAGGUGCUGCUCCAUCAGCAAAGGGGCCAUGUAGGCUCCUGUGUACAUUUUAACAUAGAGUUCAGGAACUGAAGGCAGGUUUCUGAUGUCACUGUCACAUGGCUGCAUUCAAGCAGACUGUGUUGCUGGCAAAGAAAACUGAAACUGCGCAUUAGACAGUUCACUGACUGCAUUGGAACAGCUUACUAACUUAGUUUGUUUCUAUAAAUAGGGAUCAUCAGAGCUCAAAGAGGGGAAACAGAAGUCUCUCUGUCCCAGCAGUCUUUUCCCUGAUGUUUAAACAGCAGGAGAGUCCGGGGACCUAAACUGAAGCUAAUUAGCUAAUUCAUGAGGCCUGAAGGGAGCAACAUGUGAUUUAAUGCAGUCGACAGCAACAGCCAUGUUUCUUAACAACAGGAUUUGUCAUUAAUUUCUAUACAAUCUGAACAGUUUCUCACAUUAGCAGUAAAAUAUGGAAAGUACGCUUUAAGAGUGAAGUACAAAUGUAUCCUGGGAAACACAGAAGGAUUACAGGCAAGUCAUCUCUACUGGAGUGUUGUAUCUAAAGAUAUGCUUGACUUUGUAGUUGCAGUAGCACAUAUGAAAACAACAUCUACUGCUGCACACUGAGGGGACAUAGGUUUGUUUUAAAUCAACACCUUAGAUCAGACAUGGCUUGUUACACACACCAUAUUAUGUUGAUAUGUAGAUUAGUUACACUGGCAUUCUUACUAGAGAAGUGACAUUUCUUUUCUGAAUAAGGGCAGCGACUUUUGGCUUAUAAGAUGUCAGUGCAAUCUGAAGACAAUGGUGAAGAGAACUGUCAUUCAGUGAACAACGAGAGCUGCUUUUUAUCGAGUUUGUACGUGAAAAGCUUGAUUCAUGUGUAUGUCGACCCAAACAUACCGAGCAUGACGACUACUACUUUCUUAAUGUUAGGAAACUGGUGGGUGUUGACAUCAGUCCAAAACUCGUCAGUGGAGGGGCUCACCGCAAAGCCCCCGUCUCUUACAACACCGAAUGGGUCUCUGGCAAAACUCAUCACCUCUGUGGGUAGAGCGAGUCCAUGUAAUCGACCAGAAAGGUUCUCUUUCAACUUCGCAAUGAAAUCAAUCAUCACAUCCACGACUUGCGCCGAUGAUGAGAUGCAUUUGCGGAGUGUCGGAAAAUGCCCCCUGUGCUCAACUCAGUCGAAAAAAGGUUCAUCUUGACUUUAAAUGCACACAAUGUUAAUGACAGUUUUGGCUCUGUAGUCAAACAUUUAGGUUAUUUAGAUGCUUGAGUAUGUCGCUCAGAAAGCAGACACUGGCCAUAAAGCUGUUGUCCAGAAUAUCAUUCAAGUGUUUCUGCUUCUUUUCUUUUUUUUUUUGCGUGCUACUGGGAAAGAAAGUUGUGAUCUCCUCCCUUUGAGCACCGCAACACGCUCACUGCAAAUUAAACACAGGUUUGGCAUUUGGAUUUGGCGGUAAAUUAAACAAGUACUCGACAGUACUUGUUUGCUGUAAAUGUGACACAGUUCACAUUAGCAAAAGAAGCUAUUUUAACCAGUGUUCCUUCCAUAUAAUAAUUCGUAGUUUUAGCAAAUUAACUAUAGUUUUUCUCUGCCUUUUGAUUUUUUUUUUUUUUUUUUUUGGAUGACCAUUCAAGGCGCUUCCGCUGUUACCAUAGUUACUGAGUAACAAACCGCCGUCGGACGUCACGAGUCAGCAAACGUAAUGCUUGUUUUUCGUGGGAUUUUCCAAAACUGAUUAACAGAUAAUAUUUAGGAAAAUGGAGUCAAAAACCAAACAACCAAUUUUUCCUUGGUACAGGGAAAGGUUGCAAGCAAAGUAUCUUAAAGCCCCGGAUAACAAGCUGUCAUCUAGCAGGUGUUGGCGUUUUACAAACUCGAGUCUCUGCUCAUCAGUGACACCUGGGGUCGACACAGGAGUCUCACCUCUUAUUUUCCCGGGGACUCAACAGCACAACUCCAGUCAAAAGCCUAGAAAGAGCAUCUCUAAAGAGCAUGCCUGCUUCUCAAAGCAGAUGAUCCAGAAGCAGAUUCGCAGUACGUAUGUCGCUUCUGUAGAGGAAAAACUCAAGCAGCACCCUCUGGCUAUGUACCCUCACUAUAAGGAUCACCUGACUCCUGAAGUAAGCUCCUCUAUGCCAGAACGACAUAACUUCGGGUUAGGCAGAUAAAUGAUGCCUGAAUGAAGGCAAAUACCUUCAUACUGUGUUAAAACAUAUUUACAUGGUCUUAUUGUUCUCUAGUUAUUUAAUCGGGUGGUGGCUGUUUUAGACCCAGAUAUGUGCGUAAGCAAUGCCUCUGGACUUCCUGCACCUUCAGAAGACCUUGUGGAGGAGGAGGUCAAAACAGGAAACACCCAAACUUAAAAUGAUGAAUGCUUC